Molecule: ribosomal RNA, 1422 nt
Filed under: human gut metagenome
Description: bacterial LSU rRNA
Rfam family: Bacterial large subunit ribosomal RNA
Source: RNAcentral
CUAAAUACUACCCAGUGACCGAUAGCGUAUAGUACUGUGAAGGAAAGGUGAAAAGCACCCCGGGAGGGGAGUGAAAAAGAACCUGAAACCCUGUGCCUACAAGCACCUAGAGCACGUCAAUGUGUGAUAGGGUACUUUUUGUAGAACGGUCCGGCGAGCGAUUGUAUGCAGCAAGGUUAAGGACUUAAGGUCUGGAGCCGAAGCGAAAGCGAGUUUGAAAAGGGCGUUAAGUUGCAUAUAAUGGGCCCGAAACCGGGUGACCUACCCAUGGUCAGGUUGAAGUGGAAGUAAAAUUCCAUGGAGGACCGAACCGACCUCCGUUGAAAAGGCGGCGGAUGAACUGUGGGUAGCGGAGAAAUUCCAAUCGAACCCGGAGAUAGCUGGUUCUCCCCGAAAUAGUUUUAGGACUAGCCUCAAGUUAGAUACCUGGAGGUAAAGCACUGAAUAGCCUAGCGGCCGAGAGGUUAGCGAAGCUUAUCAAACUCAGAAUGCCAGAGUAUUGAUGCUUGGGAGUCAGACAGUGUCAGAUAAAUGUCAUUGUCAAAAGGGAAACAGCCCAGAUCUACAGCUAAGGUCCCAAAGUCAGGUUAAGUGGAAAACGAUGUGAAGAUACGCAGACAACCAGGAUGUUGGCUCAGAAGCAGCCACUCAUUCAAAGAGUGCGUAAUAGCUCACUGGUCGAGCGUCUUUGCGCGGAGAAUUUAACGGGGCUAAACCUGACACCGAAGCUUAGGCAAUACAGCAAUGUAUUGGGUAGGGGAGCGUUGUAUACGCGGUGAAACAGUAGCGCAAGCGGCUGUGGAGUGUAUAGAAGUGAGAAUGCCGGAAUGAGUAGCGCGAAUGCAGUGAGAAUCUGCAUGGCCGAAAGCCUCAGGUUUUUGGAGGAAGGUUCGUCCGCUCCAAGUUAGUCGGGAGCUAAGGUGAGGCCGAAAGGCGUAGCCGAUGCACAGACGGUAGAGAUUCCGUCACCACCAAAAGAGUUAAGCACAGGGACACAUUUGAAGUCUCAGAGCCGGGUGUUGGUUCCGGUAGAGAUCGAGGGAAAUUAGUACCGAAGUCUGAGAUGGAAGAUGGCGAGAAAAGCUGUGUGUAUUUCUGAGGUGCCCGUACCGCAAACCGACACAGGUAGGUAGGAAGAAGAUUCUAAGGCCAACGGGAGAAGGGUUGUUAAGGAACUCGGCAAAUUGACCCCGUAACUUCGGGAGAAGGGGUGCUCCAGAGAUGGAGCCGCAGAGAAUCGGCCCAAGCAACUGUUUACCAAAAACACAGGUUUGUGCUAAAUCGAAAGAUGACGUAUACGAGCUGACGCCUGCCCGGUGCUGGAAGGUUAAGAGGAGAUGUGCAAGCAUUGAAUCGAAGCCCCAGUGAACGGCGGCCGUAACUAUAACGGUCCUAAGGUAGCGAAAUUCCUUGUCAGGUAAG